UGCCACAUCUUUUCCCUUACCCAAGAUGGCGCUCAAAACGCCCUCAUCACAAGCUCUCCCUAAAGAAACAUGACAGCGCGGCUAACGUCUCGAUGCGGAGUCUUUCCAGGGCGCCUUCGAUGGCUUCACCAAGAUGGCGGAGGCGGCGAGUGAGGCUGCUGCGGCCGUUUGAAUUCCAAGCCAGCCGCCAAACUCGGACAAUAACAGCCAGUGUCACCGCCGGAGGAGCUGCAGCCGCCGCCCGCCCCUCCUUCUCUCUCUUCCACGGCCCCGCUAUGGACUCGCUGCCGGGGGAAGAUCCCACCUUGCCUUUGGAGUUCAACAGCAGUGUGAAUAUUUCCCGACUUCCAGAUGUAUCAGGAGAUGAAAUUCGCACUUGUCUUGGAGGUGGUGGAGGGUUACCAGAUGUGGCGGAAGACACAGUUUCACCAACCAGAGCACGGACCAUGAAGGAUUUUGAAAACCAAAUCAUUGAGCUGCGAAAAGAGAAUUUCAACCUGAAACUGCGCAUAUAUUUCCUGGAAGAACGCAUGCAGCAGAAAUUCGAUGGUCCCAAUGAAGACAUCUACCGAAUUAACAUUGAACUCAAAGUCGAAUUGGAAAGCCAGAAACGAGAACUGCAGGAGCGGGAGCGACUGCUUGUCAAGGCUUCGAAAGCAGUGGAAAGCUUGGCUCAAGGUGGUGAUGCCGAAAUCCAGCAUCUGAAGGAGGAGGCUCAUAAGAAAGUCCAGCAGGUGGAAGAGAGCUUGACACACAGGAUUACCCUUCUGGAGGAGGAUCUUAAGACGGCACAGGAAGAAGUUGAGAAAGCGUUUGCAAUGACGGAGCAUGAGAGGGUUCUAAGACUCACAGCUGAACAACAACUUUCUUUGAUUACAAAUAUGCAGCCAAAGGAUCUGGAUGUAAUGACAGUCCUAGAAGAAAAAGACAGAUGUAUAGAGCAACUGAACCUGUCUCUAAAAAAUAAAGAAGCUCUAAUCCAGAGUUUGGAAGAGGCUGAGUCACAGAAAAGAUCUUUGGAGGAGAGUUUGUCAGGAGAGAAAAUCCAAGAUCACACCAUUGCCUUGGUGUGUGAAACAGAGAAGGAGCUGGAGGCUCUCAGAACAGAAUUCAGCAAUGAGAAACGUGACUUUGAAAAAAGGAUUGAGUCAUUCCAGGAAGAACUUCGUGAACGGGAGAUGCAGCUUUCUGUUGAAAAGAGAAAUGCUUUGAAACGAGACAAAACUAUCCAGGGAUUAACCCUUGCUUUAAAAGCCAAGGAAAAUGAGAAUGAAGAACUUAGCUCUGAAAUUGAAGAUUUAAAAACUUCAUUGGCCAAGGCCAGAGAGGCCAUCCAUAAAGCUCAGAUGCAGAAAUUCAAGGGUGUCGAAGAUUCUCAGACUCUGUUGAUGGAAAAAGAAGGUCUCCUGGCCGACCUGCGGUCCGAAAACCUGACCAAAGAUACAGAGAACCGUAAACUCCAACGGAAAAUUAAGAGGACUGAACAAGAGUUGAAUGAUUUGCAUCUUGAGAGAGAGAAGUUGGUGAAGGAACUAGAGGAAAUUCAGCUACAGAAAAGCAGAAGUGACAAAACUAUUAAUGACCUUAGAAACCAGCUAGAGAAAUCUCACGACGAAAUGGUUGACAAGGAAAAGGCACUGGAGCUUCAUUACAGUGUUCUCUUGAGCGAAGGCAAUCAGAAAUUGCAAAGACAAGAAUUAGCCAUUUCACACCUGACGGCAAGUGUCGCUCAGAAGGAUGAGGUGCUCCAGAAACUUAAUGAGGUGAUUAAAGAAAAGGAUGUGGAGUUUCAGAAAUUGUUUGCUAAGUUUCAAAGUCUCUUAAAAGAUAAAGAGGAUCUUAAGAAGUGGAACGAAAACUUGGUAAAGGAGAAGUGUGCUGCCUGGUCUCAGCAGCCAGUGAUCCAACUAAUUCCAGAGUCAGAGAAAACAAAGGAGUCUGAAUAUGCAGGAAUAAUUGAAGGCCUACAAAAAGAGCGUGAUGUUUUUUCGGCUCUAAUAAAGUCCCUUCAAGAUGCUGAUGGCAUUACUAACCUGCAAGAGGAGUUGCACAACAUUUCUCUGUUGCGUAAGCAACUGGAAGAUGACAUCUUAGCUAACUGGAAUUUGCAGAAAGUGCUGGAAGAUCAAAUCAAGGCUAACCAAAGGGAAGAGGAAACCAUUUCUUCUUGUGGCGAUCGGACAUCUUAUAUGAGCAUUCGUUUAAGAGAACCAGAUUGUUUGGAGUUGCAGUUGGACCAGCUGUCCCUUGAGGAGCUUAAGAGAAAGGUUGUUGAACUUCUCUCAGUCGUGAAGGAGCUGCAUUUGGCAAAUCAAGAUUUAAAAAGAAAGCAACUUGAAUUCUGCACUUCGGAUACUCUGGCAAAAGGAAGUCAGGAGACUCUGGACCAGAGUGAGUUUCUUGAAAGAACGGAAGAAUGUCGGACUCCGACGGGAGCUUUCGAUGAUGAGACAAACACAUCAAAUAGCCUGUUUACUGAGACGCUCAGUGAGGUAUCUCCUUCAGAUUAUUUGGACAGACAGAGUCUGAAGCUAAAUAAGCCUGGGUUUGAACAUGAGCUGGCUGUCGGCAAAUGCUUUGGUGGAAGCGCAGCGGGCAAAAAAGGUGACGCUCAAGAGAGAAGGUCGCUCAUGUCUCUUUUAAAUGACAAUGGAGUGGCGGUACUUGAAUCUAGCAGACAAGAGCAGAGGAAAAUUUCAAAUAACCUGUUAGAUCAUCCGAACACACCUGAGCAAGACAGUUCAAUCGACGAUCUCGAGAAGAAAGAUGAGACAGAUCUUAAGCAACUGGUUGUUCAGCUGAGAGUUGAACUUCAGCAGCUCAGGCAAGUAAAAAAAUUCCAGAAGCCACAAGUCAAAUCUGAAUCUGCUCUGGCUGAAGAAGAAGAAGAAGAAGAAGGGCUUGAUCUCAGACCAGUGCUGCAGAUUAAUGCAGCUAUUGGAUCACCAAAAGUAGAAGUGAAAGAUGCAGCUACCCAAACAGCGACUGCUGAAGGUCACAUCAUGGGGCUGAAGCAUGAAGGCAAAAUAGCAGCCUCUGAAGACAAAGCAGCAUCUUUGAGAUUAAAUGAAGAAUGCGGGCAGAAGCAUCAGCAGGAGACCCUCCCAUGUACAAGGAAAAUGAACAAAAGUGAUCCUUGCUACCCAUUCAAGAAAUCCCGUUUGCCCAUUUUACUAAAAUCAUCAAAGUCAUUAGAAAGCAUCUCCUUAAGCGCCCCCCUUCAGAAGGCAGACAUACAUCUUCAGCAUCGUAUCUUCACCUUGGAUGAAGAUCUGAAAGAAGGGUAUACACAGCCCCAGCGACUUGAUGAAUUACAGCUGAGCAGAGCUGAAAAUGAGAGAUCUGUUCACGAUGGAAUAUACAUAGGAGCUGAGUCGUUGAUCAAACUGGAUGGGUCCAAAGUAGAUGUCAGCUUGAUCAGUGGUGAAAGCAAAGGCGAAACAGCCAAGGAUCAGAGCAACAGCCAAGAAAUGGAAACUAACACACCUGAGCAAAAUCUCCCUGCUACAAAAGGGCUAAAUCAAGAGCUUGCUUUCCUGGAGAAGGAAGAUGGUGAUGCAACUACCACAUACUCUGGUUGCAAGAGCCUGUACUCACUCAGCUGGAGAAUCACAAGCACAGAUGAAUUUGACUGUGAAGCUAUUGAUGACAUUGAGGAAUUAAGGCAAAGAAUUAAGGAUCUGAAGUCUGAGUUGGCAAAGUACAGAAUGCUGAUGAUCCCCUUUGAGUCUGCCAAGCAAGUCCCUCCUGGUGAUAUUUUAAGUGUCAUCCAGAAUGACAGAGAGCUGCCUGCCGACCAUCCCUUUCUCCCAGAACUAAAAGCUAGUAGGACAUUCUUUGGUGCGCAGUCCCCAACAGAGCCUCAAAUCCACAUCAAAGCUCUGACCUCUCAUGCCUUGGAGCAACAAAAUGAAGAAAAGAUUCAAAAGCUCAAGGAGCUGCUGUCAGAGAAUGAGGCGGAGCUUGAAAAAGAGCAGAUUGCAAACAUACACCUCCUGGACGAGGUGUGCCAUCUGCAAAACAAGCUUAAAGGCAUUUCACAGGCAAGGCAUGUCUCCCUGAUCCACUUACCAGCACAUGAGCAGUCCUGCCAGCGCCAGAAAAUUCAAGAGUGCCACAGCAUCUGUGCCACAUACCGCCAGCACCUGUCCAAUCUGAUCAGAGCUUUUGAGGAGCUCUUGCAAGCCAGUGAGGUGGAUUACUAUGUUGCCGAGGGCUUCCGCGAACGGCUGAAUCAAAGUGCUCAGCUAUUUGAGAGGCUGGAACAACAGUGCCUGUAUGGAGAGUCAAUAGAUGAUGAAAUGGCUCGACUGUGUGGCCUGGUGCGAAGAUUAUCUAACUUUGAGAUGUCACAAAAACCAUCCUCUUCGGAAUCAUCCGGGCCUAAAAAAGAAGAAAUGGAGAGUGAGAGAGACAAUCCGGCAGUUGUGCCAAACAAGUUUCCCCCAGAGUUGUCGAUGGAGCACCUCCAAGAAAUACGUACACUGAGGCAUCAGCUAGAGGAAUCCAUCAGGACCAAUGACCGAUUGAGGAAGCAGCUGCAACAGGUGUCGGACUCUGCUCAGGAUCAAGAGAAACAAAAGGAGAAUGAAAAGAUGUGCGAGUCCCUGUCAAAGAAGCACCUUGCUGCUGAGCACCUCCACGAGUAUGAGCACCUCAAGAAGGAGAAGGAGAAGCUGCAGAAGCAGCUUGGGAAGCGAGAGGAAGAAAACAGGGAUCUGAUGCACAAUGUUUACAAUGUUAGCAAUAAACUAAACAGGUUGCAAAUUGAGCUGAACGCUAAACAGCAUCAACUGUCAGAGAAUGACAAAUUGCUGCACUCGCUGCGGCUGGAGCUCAAGGUAUACGAAAAGUUAGACAAAGCAAUCAGAAGUCAAAAAGAUUGCAGCCACGGCAGAGUAGAUGAAUGCGGGAAAGAUCAAAAUCACCUACUUGACUUGCAUGAACUGUUAACUGAAAUACAGAACUUGAGAGUGCAACUUGAAAGGAGCAUCAAGGCAAACAAGAUGUUGCAUAUGAAAGUGGAAGAACAGCUUUCCCGAGGAAUGAGAGAGAGAAGCAGUUCAGGAUCAACCACGAAUAUCGGCUGCCUUUUCAAACAAGAGUUGCCGAAUUACGCUGGGAUAAACGAGCUUCAAUUCCCCACUGCGAACAGCAACGUCCUUGAAUUGCAACUGAAGAAUGGAAACUGCAUAGUGCCACUGAAAGCAGAUACAGAGCUCACUUUGGAGAAUUCAGACAGCUCUUCCCACUGCAGCUCAUCAGCCAGCCAGUCCAGUGACCCCUGCGUUGUUCCCAGCCAUUGCGUGUGGGCAGACAAGAAUGGCCAGCACAUCCUUGGCUUUAUUGAAGAUUAUAACUCUUUACAGAAGCAAAUCUUGGACGGGCAGAAAAGGUUGUCUGAGCUGGAACUUCCUUUGAAAGAAACAGAACUUCAAGGGCUGGGAGUGACGGUUCCACAGCAGGCAUCCCUAAACAGGCUUUCUGCAACCCUCUGUGCGAUCCAGCAUAGCCUAGAAGAAGCUGCCCGUUUGUUGAAGCUUCUUUGGAGAGUUUCGCUCCCAAUGAAAGUUGUCCACAGUGCCGCUUAUGCAUUUCAGGAUGAAGACAUGAAAGCAGAGCUCAACAAGCUCCAUCGGAAACUAGCUGAGCAGGAGAAGAGGCUGCACAGCACAAUCAAACGCUUGCACGCUACCAACCAGCUGAAAGAAAACAUGGAAAGAGUCAUCAUUGAUCAGUUGGCCUUAACUCAUGAUGUUUUAAAGAAGGCACGAGGAAACCUGGAACCUCAGGAGUUGGUUGCAGGAUGAGGGGCAAAGGAGUGUUGGCAACCUUCUGUUUUUGAAGGCCCUUGAUCCAGAUUGACGGAGGACUCCAAGCAGCCAUCAGAGCAACUACACGGUAUCCAGGAAGGUGCUGUUAAUGCCUGGGAAGGACCGUAGUUCAGCGGUGGAGCGUCUGCCUGGCAUGUAGAAGGUCCCCGGAGAGCCAAUGCCAGUCAUGGAGAGCUGCUGCAGUCAGCCUAGACAGUACUGAGGAAGGCCGAAGGGCCUGACUCGGUAUAAGCAGCUUCCUCGGCUCCUAUGGUUCAGCCAGCUGAAAACAAACCAUCAGCCUCCAGCCUCAGCAACAAAAGGGUUUUGUGAAGGCUCCACUUCCCUAAUAAAGACCAUUUUUCCCCUGCUGACCCUGUUCUUUUGACUGUUUCUUUAUUCUCAAGGCCUUAAUGCUUAGUGUAAAUGUACUGCCUUCUAGUCGAUUUGACUUAUGGCUACCCUAUGAAACUAGGAACAGUUCUGAGAGUGAGAAGAUUCAGUGGACAUGUGGACAUGGGUUCAGUAAAAGCCGAUAGAACCCAGUUCAGGUUCCAUGUAGUGAACCUGUGAACUGUCUGAAGGGACAAUCCCCUUUAGAAAAAGUUUGUACAAAGGAUGUGACGAUAGAAUGUAUCCAGUUAUUUUGAUCUCUUAGUCAGGGGUCAGUUAAGCUAGCUAGUUCCUAUAGAUGAGGGAAAGGGAACCUUUGGCUGUCCAGAUGUUGCUAGACUAUAACUCCCACCAUCCCUGACCUUUGACCAUGCUCACAAUGAGGCUGAUGGGAGGGCUACAGAUGUUCCCCACCCCUGUAGAUUGAUCUAAAAUGUAAUCUUUGCUUGGAAGAAAAGACGUGACAUCCUGUGACAAGGACGAAAAGAAAACCUCCAUCAUAGAACUUCAAUAUGCCGAUGAUAAUGUAGUCUCCGCACAUUCAGAGGAAGAUCUUCAAAUUUAGGACACUAAAUGUCUGCAGAAGCAUAUGAAAAGCUUGGCCUCUCGCUUAACAUAAAAAAAAACAAAGUUUCAUCAGCAAGUGCGAACCAAUCCCUCUGUAGCACCAUCAAUCCAGCUUAAUGGUGCGACGUUGGAAAAUGUUGAUCACUUUUCUUAUCUUGGCAGUCAUCUCUAAAAGCUGACAAAUGUUUUAAGCAUACUUUGGAUUUGUGCUACGGAGAUAUGGGGCACAACUUCUGUACUUUAAAGAAGAUUGCAGAAGAGAAUGCUUUCAUCACUCAAAAGCCCUGAUUGUGUCUUAACUGGGGUACCUGUUCUUUUCUAGAAAGAGAAUGGAGAACCAGGCCAUCCACCCAACGAUGGCUUGGUUGCAGUUUAGACAGUGUGGUCAUCCAAAAGACGUUUUCCCUCUCCCUGCAAGAACAGCUUGCCUCCAGGCUUAGAUUACUAAUGCACCUCUGCCUCCAAAUAGUCUUCAUCAUGGGGAGGGGGGGACCCUGUGGCCCUCCAGACGAUGUUGGUCUGGGAUUAUUAGAGUUUCAGCAACAUCAGGAGUGCCAUAGGUUCCUUCAUCAGAUUGAGCUAUAUGGUACACAAAACUGACUUUUUGUUCUUGUUCCUCAGUAAUGUGAAAAGUAAGGGGUCAGGUUGAGUUGUAUAUAUACGCUGUAGCAAGGUGUGAUUGUAGGUGUAGGAAAAUGGGUUGAAAGAGACAUGUUUCUGA
This is an RNA transcript of Rhineura floridana, 7494 nucleotides long. It is a transcript of the gene named CDK5 regulatory subunit associated protein 2, with no coding region annotated. The transcript has 38 exons. The record is from RefSeq and is a predicted model, not a curated record. NCBI's taxonomy places the organism in Eukaryota, Metazoa, Chordata, Lepidosauria, Squamata, Rhineuridae.